AUACGGAUGGUGCGAGCGUUGUUCGGAAUUACUGGGCGUAAAGGGCGCGUAGGCGGCCCUGUAAGUCAGGUGUGAAAGCCCACGGCUCAACCGUGGAAGUGCAUCUGAAACUGCAAGGCUUGAGUACUGGAGGGGAGUGUGGAAUUCCUGGUGUAGAGGUGAAAUUCGUAGAUAUCAGGAGGAAUACCGGUGGCGAAGGCGACACUCUGGACAGAUACUGACGCUGAGGCGCGAAAGCGUGGGGAGCAAACAGGAUUAGAAACCCCGGUAGUCC
Molecule: ribosomal RNA, 274 nt
Filed under: uncultured bacterium
Lineage: Bacteria
Description: partial 16S ribosomal RNA
Rfam family: Bacterial small subunit ribosomal RNA
Source: RNAcentral